Molecule: long non-coding RNA, 251 nt
Filed under: Helianthus annuus (common sunflower)
Lineage: Eukaryota; Viridiplantae; Streptophyta; Magnoliopsida; Asterales; Asteraceae
Description: sRNA HanXRQr2_Chr12g0530731
Source: RNAcentral
UUUGGUUCGAUCAACUCUAAGUUGAAGUUAUUACUUCAUACCUGAGUUGUUUGAAUCAAAACUUCCUAGCUUGGACCCUUUGUGCCGAUUGAUUUCCGUGAUCCCUCUAGCUUUGCUGGUUGUUACUCAAGACUUCUAAGCAUGCUCAAGUGUUGUUGAAUGAUGUUGAUUGCUAGGAUGCAUGCCCACAUAGGACUAGACGAGGCCUUAGUGACUUAAUAACAAUGAUAGACUAUGUUUAACUUGUUUGU